Molecule: non-coding RNA, 29 nt
Filed under: Rattus norvegicus (Norway rat)
Lineage: Eukaryota; Metazoa; Chordata; Mammalia; Rodentia; Muridae
Source: RNAcentral
UGAAUUUCAACAGAGAUGGCAAGGUAUUU